CUUCUGGAUGCUUUUUGCUGGUUGCUUCCCAUUCAGCUGAGCAAGCUCAGCUCCAUCUCCUGAGCACCCAGCACCCUUGUUCCAGGAGGGCCACCCUGCAGGAUGGGACCCUUUGCACUAAGCCGCUCUAAGAUCUCAAGAACUCCCAUCAGGCUUUGGCCUUUGGUAAUGAGUUGGACAGUGUCCCACAGACCACAUCAGGAGCUCUUGCCUGGCAAAGGUAGAGCUGCACUGACUGUACUAGGAACUCCCUGUUGCCUGACAAGGUAUACAUCAUUCUCAGUUGUUCAUCCACUUGGCAAGUUUUUCUGUCUUCCACACUGUGCCCUUGGAAUAACAUUACCAAGUGAGGAAAAACAUUCUUUUUGCUAGAAUAUUGGAUUACACUUGGCUUUGAAAGAGGGAGAAGAAAAGAAGACUACCCUGGCUCAGUUCAUGGCAAGUGGAUUGAAGAGUCUUACUGGUGAUGCUCUGAUGGUGAUGAAUUCCCUUCCUCACCUCCAGCUUCCCAAGGAAAUAUUUUGCUUAGGAUGGACCAACAAAGCAAAUAAGACCAGAAAAGGAUGGCCCAAGGGAAGGAUGAUCAGUGCAAGCUGACAAAAGAUUCUCCUGCCAUUCUGUGGGGCUGACUCACCUUCACCAUACCACCACCACAUUCCUGCAUUGGAUGAGUGAGAUCAACAAUUACUGAAGACCAGUGCUAAAGAAGGGGCUUUUCAGCCAAGAAAUUAAAUAAAGGUUUGAAAUGCCCAUUUGAAGCA
RNAcentral lists this long non-coding RNA (761 nucleotides) under Cyanistes caeruleus (blue tit). RNAcentral's name for it is "lncRNA (ENSCCEG00000013068.1)". Lineage: Eukaryota; Metazoa; Chordata; Aves; Passeriformes; Paridae. The record is from RNAcentral.